This 887-nucleotide long non-coding RNA is filed under the name Pan troglodytes (chimpanzee). Its description in RNAcentral is "long non-coding RNA NONPTRT015364". The record is from RNAcentral. Lineage: Eukaryota; Metazoa; Chordata; Mammalia; Primates; Hominidae.
CGUGGGGGAGGGCGAAGGGGGAGGCCUCACCCCACAGCGUGCAGCCGGGAGGAGGAACCGGUCGCGGAGGGCGGGGAGCGCGGCUGAGCAGCCCGGCGCGGGAGUGAGUGUGGGCGAGCCAGCCAGGGUGAGCGCGGGCGCCGGGCCGCGGCCGCCGGCCGCAGCGGGCUGAGAUUGUUGUCCUCUGUCACCAGGGCGGCUGGGCUCCCGCAGUUCUGCAGACCGCGCCCGAUCCCGGCGACAGGGCGGGCGGACAGCCGCGCAUCUCCGGGGUCCCGCCGAGCCUGGGCGCAGCGAGCCGGGAGGAGACGUUCGCUCGCUUCGCCUUGCUGCUGGGGAAACUGAACGAGGCCGAGAGAGAGGCAGGUUCUUGAGUUCAUGUAAGAGGACAGUCUUAAAACGGAAGAAGAAAAAGAAGCAGUUCAGUCUUUGGGAGAGCUGCCUCCUUGUUGAGUGCUGCAAAGGCCUGGAAUUCAUUUAUGACAGAAUAGAUCUAGAAAAGUCCAAGCAUGUUUUCUAGAGGGGUGUAGCCCUGUGCUGCCUCCAGUGAAGAGUCUCUUGGUGUUGGCUUCGUGCUUCCGGAGGGACCAUGGCAACCUCCAGAGGGGCCUCCCGGUGUCCUCGGGAUAUCGCCAAUGUGAUGCAGAGGCUGCAAGAUGAGCAAGAGAUAGUACAAAAACGAACUUUCACAAAAUGGAUCAACUCUCAUCUGGCCAAGCGGAAACCUCCAAUGGUGGUGGACGAUCUUUUUGAAGACAUGAAAGAUGGUGUUAAACUGCUUGCCCUUCUGGAGGUCCUGUCUGGGCAGAAACUGCCUUGUGAACAAGGACGCCGGAUGAAGCGAAUCCAUGCUGUGGCUAACAUUGGCACGGCACUCAAGUUCCUCG